This is a small nuclear RNA of Octodon degus (degu), 158 nucleotides long. Its record names the gene U1. It matches the Rfam family "U1 spliceosomal RNA". Rfam says of the family: U1 is a small nuclear RNA (snRNA) component of the spliceosome (involved in pre-mRNA splicing). Its 5' end forms complementary base pairs with the 5' splice junction, thus defining the 5' donor site of an intron. The record is from Ensembl. NCBI's taxonomy places the organism in Eukaryota, Metazoa, Chordata, Mammalia, Rodentia, Octodontidae.
AUACCUAGCAGGGGGAUGCCAUGAUUACGAAGAUGGUUUUCACAGGAUGAGGGCUUAUCCUUAGCCCUUGGCAUAUGAUGACCUCUGCAAUUUCCCCAAAUGUGGAAAACAGAAUUGUAAUUUAUGGAAGUUGGGAACUGCCUUUGUGCUUUCCCCUU